Molecule: transfer RNA, 113 nt
Filed under: Streptomyces sp. S12
Lineage: Bacteria; Bacillati; Actinomycetota; Actinomycetes; Kitasatosporales; Streptomycetaceae
Also listed under: 1 other name
Description: tRNA-OTHER
Source: RNAcentral
GCCCCCGUCAUCGUGGGCUCACUGGCCCUCAUUCGGCCUCACUGAGACUCAUGAUCGCUUUACGUUUUCUCCUAAAGCGGGUGUCGCAGGUUCGAAUCCUGCCGGGGGCACCA